This 510-nucleotide ribosomal RNA is filed under the name uncultured bacterium. RNAcentral describes it as "bacterial SSU rRNA". It matches the Rfam family "Bacterial small subunit ribosomal RNA", at positions 501 to 1011 of the family's 1533-position model. The record is from RNAcentral.
CUACGUGCCAGCAGCCGCGGUAAUACGGAGGAUGCAAGCGUUAUCCGGAUUUAUUGGGUUUAAAGGGUGCGUAGGCCGUUGUGCAAGUCAGAGGUGAAAUUGUGGGGCUCAACUCCGCCGCUGCCUUUGAAACUGCAUGACUUGAAUCCUGUUGCCGUGGGAGGAAUGAGUAGUGUAGCGGUGAAAUGCAUAGAUAUUACUCAGAACCCCAAUUGCGAAGGCAUCUCACGAAGCAGGUAUUGACGCUGAGGCACGAAAGCGUGGGUAUCAAACAGGAUUAGAUACCCUGGUAGUCCACGCUGUAAACAAUGAUAACUAACCGCCGGCGAUAUAGUGUCGGUGGCCAAGCGAAAGCGAUAAGUUAUCCACCUGGGGAGUACGACCGCAAGGUUGAAACUCAAAGGAAUUGACGGGGGCCCGCACAAGCGGAGGAACAUGUGGUUUAAUUCGAUGAUACGCGAGGAACCUUACCCGGGCUCGAACGGCAGAGGAAGAGACUCAGAGAKAAGA